This 446-nucleotide ribosomal RNA is filed under the name uncultured bacterium. RNAcentral describes it as "partial 16S ribosomal RNA". It matches the Rfam family "Bacterial small subunit ribosomal RNA", at positions 338 to 795 of the family's 1533-position model. The record is from RNAcentral.
CCUACGGGAGGCAGCAGUCGAGAAUCAUUCACAAUGGGGGAAACCCUGAUGGUGCGACGCCGCGUGGGGGAAUGAAGGUCUUCGGAUUGUAAACCCCUGUCAUGUGGGAGCAAAUUAAAAAGAUAGUACCCCAAGAGGAAGAGACGGCUAACUCUGUGCCAGCAGCCGCGGUAAUACAGAGGUCCCAAGCGUUGUUCGGAAUCACUGGGCGUAAAGCGUGCGUAGGCUGUUUCGUAAGUCGUGUGUGAAAGGCGCGGGCUCAACCCGCGGACGGCACAUGAUACUGCGAGACUAGAGUAAUGGAGGGGGAACCGGAAUUCUCGGUGUAGCAGUGAAAUGCGUAGAUAUCGGGAGGAACACUCGUGGCGAAGGCGGGUUCCUGGACAUUAACUGACGCUGAGGCACGAAGGCCAGGGGAGCGAAAGGGAUUAGAUACCCUGGUAGUC